This 2863-nucleotide long non-coding RNA is filed under the name Homo sapiens (human). RNAcentral describes it as "non-protein coding lnc-CLN6-1:10". Lineage: Eukaryota; Metazoa; Chordata; Mammalia; Primates; Hominidae. The record is from RNAcentral.
AGUUGGCCCAUCCCGUUUGGGCCUGGAUGUCCUCAAUGUCCUUGACUCCUGGAACCUCCUCCUGGCCCCUAAACGGCCCUGAGGGUCUCCAGCCAGGGAGUGGGGGCGGAGUGAGGGCGCUAAGCUGAUGGGCUAAGGAGACCACCCUAUUUUACUAUAGACGGUGCGGGUCCUGCUUCUGCCCCUGAGCCGGGGUUAGGGAAGGGGUUGCGCGUACUCGGAGGGUCCAUUUCAGGAAAAGGGCGGCGUUUCUGAGUUCCCGAAAUGUGGGAGGGCUUGAGAGCCACAACACCAGGCUCUGAGAAGGGACUGGAAGUACGGCCUGACUUUCCCGGAGAAAGGGGUUAAGUGUGAGAGAAAGAUGGGAGCGAAGGGGAGCUGCGCUCGCGGUGGAAGGAGCGAGGUAUCCUGGGAAGGAAAGCGAGUCCCGCGUUCAGACAGAGCAGGAAUCUCAUCCUGAGCCGGCAGAACCUCCGUUUUCUCACAGACAUCACAAGAUUGUUGUUAGGAUUUGAAACGAUCGUUUAUCCAAUGAAUAUUAGAGGUCGACUACGUGCCAGGCUCUGCUUAGCACUAGGGAUUCAGUAAUGGAACAAAUAAGUCAACAAAUGAUAGACAAGAUCAGUUGAACUGGUAUCAUUACCAUUUGCUCUGAAGCAAAUGAAAUAGAAUGAUGGGGGCACUCAUUUAGUUUGGGUGAUCAGACAAGACCUCUAUGACAAGUGACAAGAACAGACGGUAUUCUAGGCAAAGGGGACAGCUAAUAUAAAAGUCCUGAGGAGGGAACAGUCUGGUGAGCUCGGAAACAGAAAGGUCAGUGUGGCUGCAGCAGAGUGGGCCACAGUAAGAAUGAUAGAUGAAGUCAGAGGAUGCAACACACGUUAGGGCCUAAUAACCCAUAGCAAAGGGUUUAAGUCUACUCUGUGAUGGGGGCAUUUGAAGGGUUUUAAAGAGGGAAGUGACAAGAUGCUAUUUGUGUUUUUUAAAAAGAUCACUCUGGCUGCUGUAUGGAGAAUAAACUCUGGAAGGCAAGAGUAGAUAGGGGGACAGGCCUUGGAUUAGGAUGGUAGGAGUGAAUGGUAGGUGAUGAAGCUUCUGGGACAGUCUCAAAAAACUCAAUAUGAAAGUGACUUCCUCCCUCUUCCUCCCUUCCCCAAAGGACAAAAUUUACCAUAGAGAAAGAACAAAUGCAUUUAUGUGGCUCCAAGGGACUGGGCUCGGCUCAACAAGUUCACAUACAUUAUUUUAUUUGAACCCCACCAUUCCAAUUCUAGGAGGUAAAGGCCUCACUUCCAUUGCAGCUAUUGGUGGAGGUGUGGGUCACUUCUCAAAUUCUCUCCAUUCUACAGCUCAGCUUUACCCACUUAUUGCAGAUCCCUACAGAAACACGAGUUAUUUUUCUCCUUACCAUAAACAAAAACAGCAUUGGCAAUAAGGGCUGAAGGUAAGAUUCUACUGGUAGCGUCUCUGAAAUAGCUGAUAGAGAAGUGGGGGAAGCUGGCUGGUUUAUUUGGGGACUUCAGGGUCAUGAAAAAACCCAGUGUUUGACAGGGACCCAGGCUUUUUGGUCUCGGAUUCACACAUUCAGAUGUGUGAUGACUUCCUUUUCUGGCUCCAUACGGCAAGCAUGCACCUCAUCUACCAUCUGUCUCCUCUCUGCCUUUCUAUCUCUCUCUGUCUCUCCAUAUCUCUAACUCCGUCUCCCUACCACCCUCCCUCUCCUCUGCCAACACACUUUGAUUACCUGGGCACAAGCUGACCUGGAGGAGUGCCUGGCUCUUUAGAAAAACCAUCUCCUCAUAGCCUUUUACCCUAUUAUGUUCCUGAAUCAUUCUACAUUCUAUUCCGAACCAACUUUCUGAAGAAGGUGAUGUAAAAAAGUCCAGACACAGGCCCCUUCUUCCAGUUUUGUUUUCUAAGGGAGACCUGAUUCAUCCAGACUCAUUGCUGAAUAAGAGACUCCCUUCUUCCUCGUGCCCUCUCUACCUCAGUUUGGUGGUAUAACUGGAUGGGUACUACAAGGGGUGACUGCUCCAAGGGUCAAGCUAGAGAGGGGCUCAGAACUUGCAUUGUGUGGCCUCCAUCCCAAGAUGGGAAUACCUCUUUGCUCCAGCAGCCCAAAGUCAGGAGGUUUGGGCUGCUGUUUUCUUCUGUGUUUAUCAAAGUUGCUUCGUAUAGGCUUCUGGGCUCCCUUGGUUUCUUAAUAGCUAUUGGCUGACUGGAGACUAUUUAGUUGCUUGUUUACCUGGGCUUAGAGGGUGACGUUUCUGUGGUCAGGUUGUGCAAAUCUGGAGAGAGGAUAUGUAAACAGGACAAGGCUGCUUUCCCAAAGGCCAGGGCCCAGAAAUAGUUCCUUGUGCUUCUGACCUAUUUCCUCCUCCCUGGACAGAAAGCCACUGAGCAAAUGUGCAAUAGUAAAACAUAACUACAAGUAGCUAUAUCCUGAUGGAGAUUGAUUUGCUGAUGACAACAAACUGCAGCCUUCCACCUGGAAAUAAGGCAGGACUGACCUUUCCCCGCACUUUGCUUCCUAGGCAUUAUAGUGGCCUAUGAGCAGAAUUUGCCAUGCCUUCCAUGGAGCAUUCUUUUUCCAAGUCAGGUCAAUCCAGCCUGCAGCUGUAAGUCAAUGAAGUUCCUCAGAUAAAGUGCAUGCAAAAAUGUUAUUUUUCAAGCACCAGUAAAGACACUUGUUUUAAUCUUAUACCCCUUGCACGUACUAUAGAGGAAGAGGGUGACCCUUAGUGUUGAAUAGAUCUGGGUGGGAUUUCCAUAUCUAUGGACAAGCUGUGGCUCUGGGCCAGUUUCUACAUCUGUACAAUGGAGUCAAAUCUUUUCCUUGCAGGGCUGGUGUGAUGGGAACAUG